This 292-nucleotide ribosomal RNA is filed under the name uncultured bacterium. Its description in RNAcentral is "partial 16S ribosomal RNA". It matches the Rfam family "Bacterial small subunit ribosomal RNA", at positions 337 to 646 of the family's 1533-position model. The record is from RNAcentral.
UCCUACGGGGGGCAGCAGUGGGGGAUAUUGCACAAUGGGGGGAACCCUGAUGCAGCGACGCCGCGUGAAGGAAGAAGUAUCUCGGUAUGUAAACUUCUAUCAGCAGGGAAGAAAAUGACGGUACCUGACUAAGAAGCCCCGGCUAACUCACUGUCACCCCCCGCGGUAAUACGUAGGGGGCAAGCGUUAUCCGGAUUUACUGGGUGUAAAGGGAGCGUAGGCGGCAGUGCAAGUCAGAAGUGAAAGCCCGGGGCUCAACUCCGGGACUGCUUUUGAAACUGUACAGCUUGAU